CGGAAAUCGUACGUAGAGUGUAAAGGCAAAAGAGAGCUUGAUUGCAAGACAUACAGGUCGAGCAAGGAUGAAAAUCGGACUUAGUGAUCCGGUGGUUCUGCGUGGAAGGGCCAUCGCGCAACGGAUAAAAGCUACCCUGGGGAUAACAGGCUUAUCUCCCCCAAGAGUCCACAUCGACGGGGAGGUUUGGCACCUCGAUGUCGGCUCAUCACAUCCUGGGGCUGUAGUAGGUCCCAAGGGUUGGG
RNAcentral lists this ribosomal RNA (245 nucleotides) under Clostridioides difficile. RNAcentral's name for it is "partial 23S ribosomal RNA". It matches the Rfam family "Bacterial large subunit ribosomal RNA", at positions 2332 to 2576 of the family's 2925-position model. The record is from RNAcentral. Lineage: Bacteria; Bacillati; Bacillota; Clostridia; Peptostreptococcales; Peptostreptococcaceae.